Molecule: RNA transcript, 516 nt
Organism: Fragaria vesca subsp. vesca
Lineage: Eukaryota; Viridiplantae; Streptophyta; Magnoliopsida; Rosales; Rosaceae
Exons: 2
Source: RefSeq, a predicted model, not a curated record
UUUAGUGGAAAAGGAUGAUGCUUUGAAAGGAGGUUUUGGUGCGAGUAAAGCUUAUAGUGAUUCUUUGAUAUGUGUGAAGCAUGCUCCAAGUAAAUCUGAAGUUCGUCAUAUGAUGGACAAUCUAGUUUUGAGGGAUGAAUCUGAUGACUCUAACGGACCUUCUGAUGCACAAUGUGUUCCUAAGUGUAAAAGAAUAUAAUAAGCUGGUCGAGGAGUUGUGCGGGUGUGGGUACCAGCUUGCUUUUAAGUAUCCAGAUGAUGAGAUAUCAAGCCCUCCUCCUCAGAGGUAUCCAUUGUACCAUUAUAGCGAGGAGGAGGAGUGGGAGGUCAUAUCAGAUGAUGGUGAUGAGGUCGAGGAAGAGAUGGUGGAAGAGGUUGUAGUAGCUUCAAAUAACUCUGUGGAACUUUGUGGCGACUAAAGCAUCUGGGUUGUCUAGUUCAAUUUAGUGGAGUUUGAUCUGGUUAUACUUUCUCCUAGUUUCAAGUCUACUUUCUAUCUGAAUGUAGAAUUCCGUA